UUUCCGUAGGUGAACCUGCGGAAGGAUCAUUACUGAGUGAGGGCCCCUCGGGGUCCAACCUCCCACCCGUGUUUAACGAACCUUGUUGCUUCGGCGGGCCCGCCUCACGACCGCCGGGGGGCAUCCGCCCCCGGGCCCGCGCCCGCCGAAGCCACCUGUGAACGCUGUCUGAAGUAUGCAGUCUGAGACAAUUAUUAAAUUAAUUAAAACUUUCAACAACGGAUCUCUUGGUUCCG
RNAcentral lists this unclassified non-coding RNA (236 nucleotides) under plant metagenome. RNAcentral's name for it is "partial contains small subunit ribosomal RNA, internal transcribed spacer 1, and 5.8S ribosomal RNA". The record is from RNAcentral.